Molecule: long non-coding RNA, 186 nt
Organism: Spea bombifrons (plains spadefoot toad)
Lineage: Eukaryota; Metazoa; Chordata; Amphibia; Anura; Pelobatidae
Exons: 2
Source: RefSeq, a predicted model, not a curated record
GAUCAGGUACCACAGGUAAUGGGCCCACAAUGCAGGAAUGGCGAGUAAAUCCGAUAAACAAGCCAGAAUCGGGGCAGGCAGCACAGGAGCGUAGUCAAAAACGAUAGCCGAGGUCGGGGCAGGCAGCACAGGAGCGUAGUCAGAAGAACAAAGCCGAGGUCUGGUACACGUAAAUAACAAUCAAAA